This 387-nucleotide ribosomal RNA is filed under the name uncultured bacterium. RNAcentral describes it as "bacterial SSU rRNA". It matches the Rfam family "Bacterial small subunit ribosomal RNA", at positions 30 to 417 of the family's 1533-position model. The record is from RNAcentral.
AUUGAACGCUGGCGGCAUGCUUUACACAUGCAAGUCGAACGGAUUAGAGGGGCUUGCUCCUCUAGUUAGUGGCGAACGGGUGAGUAAUGCAUCGGAACGUACCGUGUAGUGGGGGAUAACCCGGCGAAAGUCGGAUUAAUACCGCAUACGAUCUAAGGAUGAAAGCGGGGGAUCGCAAGACCUCGCGCUAUACGAGCGGCCGAUGUCGGAUUAGCUAGUUGGUAGGGUAAAGGCCUACCAAGGCAACGAUCCGUAGCGGGUCUGAGAGGAUGAUCCGCCACACUGGGACUGAGACACGGCCCAGACUCCUACGGGAGGCAGCAGUGGGGAAUUUUGGACAAUGGACGCAAGUCUGAUCCAGCCAUGCCGCGUGAGUGAAGAAGGCCU